AUGCAUCUAAUUUCACAACAAUAUAGAAAACAGAGGUUACAAGACGACAAAGCUCGAGUCGAUGAAUUUCAUUCCGUGGUGGUGGUUAGAAACAACCUAGUUAGCAGUGGCAGGUUGUUCACUGGACAUAGAUUCACCCACAGUCGCUGCUCGUCCUCCCGCUAUCUCUGUUUCUCAAUUCUCUCACGCACACCGUUUCUCUGCUUCUCAAUUCUCUCACGCACACCGUUUCUCUGCUUCUCCUCUGAGCAUCUCCUUGCUUGUUGUAUUUGUUGUUGA
Vicia faba (fava bean) is the source of this 279-nucleotide non-coding RNA. The record is from the annotation of a GenBank genome assembly. NCBI's taxonomy places the organism in Eukaryota, Viridiplantae, Streptophyta, Magnoliopsida, Fabales, Fabaceae.